This 76-nucleotide transfer RNA is filed under the name Thermodesulfobacteriaceae bacterium. RNAcentral describes it as "tRNA-Ala". It matches the Rfam family "tRNA". From Rfam's summary of the family: Transfer RNA (tRNA) molecules are approximately 80 nucleotides in length. Lineage: Bacteria; Pseudomonadati; Thermodesulfobacteriota; Thermodesulfobacteria; Thermodesulfobacteriales; Thermodesulfobacteriaceae. The record is from RNAcentral.
GGGGAUGUAGCUCAGUUGGGAGAGCGCCACGUUCGCAACGUGGAGGCCGGGGGUUCGAGUCCCCCCAUCUCCACCA